RNAcentral lists this ribosomal RNA (253 nucleotides) under uncultured bacterium. Its description in RNAcentral is "partial 16S ribosomal RNA". It matches the Rfam family "Bacterial small subunit ribosomal RNA", at positions 524 to 776 of the family's 1533-position model. The record is from RNAcentral.
GACAGAGGGUGCAACCGUUGCUCGGAGUUACUGGGCGUAAAGCGCGUGUAGGCGGUCACGCAAGUCAGGUGUGAAAGCCCAGGGCUCAACCCUGGAAGUGCACAUGAUACUACGUGGCUGGAGUACUGAAGAGGAGAGCGGAAUUCCCGGUGUAGAGGUGAAAUUCGUAGAUAUCGGGAGGAACACCAGUGGCGAAGGCGGCUCUCUGGGCAGAUACUGACGCUGAGACGCGAAAGCGUGGGUAGCAAACAGG